Molecule: ribosomal RNA, 684 nt
Filed under: Prorocentrum lima
Lineage: Eukaryota; Dinophyceae; Prorocentrales; Prorocentraceae
Description: eukaryotic LSU rRNA
Rfam family: Eukaryotic large subunit ribosomal RNA
Source: RNAcentral
AUUAAGCAUAUUAGUAGGCGGCGGAAGAUAACCCAAAAGGGAUUCCUUCAGUAAUGGCGAAUGAACGGGGAAAAGCUCAGCAAAGAAAUCAGGGACCCCGUCCUUGAGUUGUGGACUUGAGAGGUAUUGCCAAUGGUGGCGCAGGUGCGGGCCUCUUGGAAAAGGGCACCACAGAGGGUGUGAGUCCUGUUUGUCAUCUGUAGUCCGCCAUGUACGGCAUGCCUCCUCAGAGUCACGUUCCUUGGAAUUGGAGCGCGAAGGUGGUGGUGGCUUUCAUCUCAAGCUAAAUAUGGGUUCGAGACCGAUAGCAAACAAGUACCAUGAGGGAAAAUUGAAAAGAGCUUUGGAAAGAGAGUUAAAAGUGCCCGAACUUGCUGAUAGGGAAGCGAAGGGAGCUGACGUUGCAUGGUGACAUUUUCCGCGCAAGAGUAGGAUGGGUUCUGAUUGCAAUGUGCGUAGUGCUUCUUGCCGUGCGUGUCGAUGCCAAGCAACGAGUGGGGAGAGCACCAGGGAUAUGAUUGUUCUGUCCCCGGGUGGACGAAGGUGCCUGGUCGCAUCCAUUUGUGGGCUGAAACAAGUGGUGGCUGGUUGCAGCGCUCCAUAACUGCCAGGCAGUUGGGGUGCAGCCCUGAUACGCAGACGAGGACAAAGUGCUUCUGUUCGACCCGUCUUGAAACAGGGACC